Molecule: ribosomal RNA, 185 nt
Filed under: Providencia rettgeri
Lineage: Bacteria; Pseudomonadati; Pseudomonadota; Gammaproteobacteria; Enterobacterales; Morganellaceae
Description: partial 23S ribosomal RNA
Source: RNAcentral
GGUUAAGCGACUAAGCGUACACGGUGGAUGCCUAGGCAAUCAGAGGCGAUGAAGGACGUGCUAAUCUGCGAUAAGCGUCGGUAAGGUGAUAUGAACCGUUACAACCGACGAUUUCCGAAUGGGGAAACCCAGUGCAAUYCGUUGCACUAUCGUUUGAUGAAUACAUAGUCAAACGAAGCGAACCG